This 293-nucleotide RNase P RNA is filed under the name Oncorhynchus mykiss (rainbow trout). RNAcentral's name for it is "Nuclear RNase P (ENSOMYG00000075486.1)". It matches the Rfam family "Nuclear RNase P". From Rfam's summary of the family: Ribonuclease P (RNase P) is a ubiquitous endoribonuclease, found in archaea, bacteria and eukarya as well as chloroplasts and mitochondria. Its best characterised activity is the generation of mature 5'-ends of tRNAs by cleaving the 5'-leader elements of precursor-tRNAs. Cellular RNase Ps are ribonucleoproteins. The record is from RNAcentral. Lineage: Eukaryota; Metazoa; Chordata; Actinopteri; Salmoniformes; Salmonidae.
GUGGGUGGAAGCUCAUCAUAGAGGUCACAUGCAGGGUGCUUGUCACUCAACCAAUCACCUUGGGGAAGGUCUGAGACAAGAGCCAAUCACUGCCCUAGCAGGGUAUCACCUGACCUGGGUGAGUGAGUGCACAUUGUGAGUUGUCUUUACAGGAGAAACCAGCCAGAGCAGCUCUCCAGCACUACUGGUUGUUGUGACCUCACUGGCUUGGAAACACUCAUGGCUGGCAUAUGAGUGCAAUGUGUGAGUUGGAGUACACCUCCAGAACCCAAUUCAGACUACUCUCUGCCCAC